Molecule: ribosomal RNA, 521 nt
Filed under: Duganella levis
Lineage: Bacteria; Pseudomonadati; Pseudomonadota; Betaproteobacteria; Burkholderiales; Oxalobacteraceae
Description: bacterial SSU rRNA
Rfam family: Bacterial small subunit ribosomal RNA
Source: RNAcentral
GAGUGCCCGAAAGGGAACCAUUACACAGGUGCUGCAUGGCUGUCGUCAGCUCGUGUCGUGAGAUGUUGGGUUAAGUCCCGCAACGAGCGCAACCCUUGUCAUUAGUUGCUACGAAAGAGCACUCUAAUGAGACUGCCGGUGACAAACCGGAGGAAGGUGGGGAUGACGUCAAGUCCUCAUGGCCCUUAUGGGUAGGGCUUCACACGUCAUACAAUGGUACAUACAGAGCGCCGCCAACCCGCGAGGGGGAGCUAAUCGCAGAAAGUGUAUCGUAGUCCGGAUUGUAGUCUGCAACUCGACUGCAUGAAGUUGGAAUCGCUAGUAAUCGCGGAUCAGCAUGUCGCGGUGAAUACGUUCCCGGGUCUUGUACACACCGCCCGUCACACCAUGGGAGCGGGUUUUACCAGAAGUAGGUAGCUUAACCGCAAGGAGGGCGCUUACCACGGUAGGAUUCGUGACUGGGGUGAAGUCGUAACAAGGUAGCCGUAUCGGAAGGUGCGGCUGGAUCACCUCCUUUCUAG